GAAGGGUAAACUCGCACCUGUUCUACCCAGAAGAGUGGCUCAAGUUCACAUUCAGAAUUUAUUUGUUGAAAGAGUAUCUCCACUUUAUCACAAUCGAGCACUUCCAAUUCUUUCAGAAGUGGCCAGCUUGAACUAAACCUUCUAGAGCAAAAUCUUUUGAGUUGGUGUAAACCGGAGAGUGUGAGAGAGGUAAGGUUAGGGAAUGAGAGUAAAGGUGCUGCUUCAUCUUCAUUUUCAUUGGCAACAAUUGCCUCCACUCCACUCUCCGAUAUAUAAAGGUCCUCAAGUUGCACAAGAGCACUCGCCACAGAAACCGGAAAAAGGUUUAGCAAUUUGUUGCAUCCCCUUACUUGCAAUUUCCUUAAUUUGGAAAAUGAAUUUGCUGGAAGUUGGUCAGGCCACAAUGCUCUUAUAUUAUCUAGUCCGCGUACAGACAAGGACUCCAAACCUGGGAGUGCAACCUGUGCAAUUGAUGAUCCCUUUAGUUAAUAAUAUAUACAUAUACAUUCCUAAUAAUUAGACACAUGUAAAUAGAAAAUAAGAGGUUAAAGGAGAAUAUAUCAGUAUAACAAAGCACAAAAUUUAAACUCUAUUCAAGAAGAUCCAGAAAGAGAAAAGAAAACGCCUUUUGAUUUUGAAGAUCCAAUGAAACUUUAAAAAAAAAAAAAAAAACCUCCAAAUUUUGCUUUCCAAAUGAGGUAAUAGGAGGAUAUUUUUAUUUUAUUUUUUCUUUGCCUCUCUUUCAAAUUUGAUUAACUUCCAUGGAAAACGUAUUUUAACUAGCCAUGGAAAAUGGAUUUUUUUUUUAAAACUUUUAUAUAAGAUACAAGAACUCUUAGAGGGUUACAUUAUGUAAGUAAUACUUUAAAAAAAAUGUUUAAAAAUAUUGUGAUAUCCAAAAAUUUUACUACCUCGGAUUUUAAAUUUUAAAAAAAUUAUUUUUAAAGAAAUAAGGUAAAUCUAUACUUUUUCGUAUAAGAUAUUCUACCUUUAUAUACAAAUUUCUGAUUUUUUUUUUAAAGUGUAUCCAAAUGGACACUAAACUAUCUAGUUUCGAAUUUUUACAACUUUGAAUUGGAUUUUAUGGUAAACUAAUUGACAAUAUAACGCAUGGAUUCAUCUUAGAUUCCAUCUAUAAAUUUUUUAAUUAUCUAAUAUAAGACAUUAUAUUAAUGGGUUGAAUUAAUAAUGUAAUUAUAAUUUAUUUGGCAACUUUCUUCCUUCAAAUAUAUAAGACGAAAAUAUAUUUUAAAAAAUAAAAAAGAAUGAUAAAAAAUAGAAAAUAAAAAUAGCUUAUUUUAUUGUUUUUCUAAGAUGAUUUUGUAGAGUGUUAGUUUAUAGUUUAACUUUAUUUCAUUUUACUUUUAACAUUAUUUAUUGAGGUAUGUUCUUUUUUGAAACUCUUGUUUAGAUUUUAUAGAGAAUAUAAAUUUUAAGAAAAAAAAUGAAAUUUAAAUAAAAUAAGAAUAAAGAAAGGCAAAAGGUGGAUGAAUUUUUUGAAGGCAAAAGUUUGAUAAUUUGGCACUGUCAUGUAAUGGGUGAAAUUUUUAAAUACUCAACAAAGGCUAGUGAAAUUUAAAUUAAAACCUUGACAUGUACCUUUUCGACCAAAAUCUUUGGAGUUGGUGUAAAGUUUUGAGUAUGAGAGAGGUUAGUCUAGGGAAUAUUAUUGCACAUUAGUUCAAAUAAAACAUCAACAUUUUUUUUUGUUAAAUUCUAAAUGAACACCACUAUAAAUUAAUGCGAUUUUGUAUGCUCAAUUAAAUAAACUCGUUCUUAAGGCAUCACAUGAAGUGUUUAAGUCUAAUUAAUAUUAAUUAAAAAUGAUUAUAUCAAAAAAAAUCCAAAGUAAUUUUUUUUUAUCAUAAGUCAAGUAGGAUAGUUUUAUAAAUAAUUGGUUCUAGUUUCUAGUAUUAUUGUACACAAUCGCUAUGUUUGUUGCACCUCCAAAAAAUCUACUACUUGUAAUUAAUUGUAUAUUAUUCUCCAUAUUCACAUCAGUUUAUGUAGUAUGAUUAAUUUAGCAACAAAAUAUAAGUUUACUUGAAAUCGCUUUAAAUUCCUAUGAUAUUAAAGUUUAAGAUUAAAACAAUGUAACAUUAGCCAAAAAGACUAAGAUCUAUAAUGUAACAAAUAAAAUUUAGAAAAUUCAAGGCAGGGUAAACUCGCACCUGUUCUACCCAGAAGAGUGGCUCAAGUUCACAUUCAGAAUUUAUUUGUUGAAAGAGUAUCUCCACUUUAUCACAAUCGAGCACUUCCAAUUCUUUCAGAAGUAGCCAGCUUGAACUAAACCUUCUAGAGCAAAAUCUUUUGAGUUGGUGUAAACCGGAGAGUGUGAGAGAGGUAAGGUUAGGGAAUAAGAGUAAAGGUGCUGCUUCAUCUUCAUUUUCAUUGGCAACAAUUGCCUCCACUCCACUCUCCGAUAUAUAUAGGUCCUCAAGUUGCACAAGAGCACUCGCCACAGAAACCCGAAAAAGGUUUAGCAAUUUGUUGAAUCCCCUUACAUGCAAUUUCCUUAAUUUGGAAAAUGAAUUUGUUGGAAGUUGGUCAGGCCACAAUGCUCUUAUAUUAUCCAGUCCGCAUACAUACAAGGACUCCAAGCCUUGGAGUGCAACCUGUGCAAUUGAUAAUCCCUUUGGUUAAUAAUAUAUACAUAUACAUUCCUAAUGAUUAGACACAUGUAAAUAGAAAAUAAGAGGUUAAAGGAGAAUAUAUCAGUAUAACAAAGCACAAAAUUUAAACUAGAUUAAAGAAGAUCAAGAAAGAGAAAAGAAAAGAAAAAGCCUCCAGAUUUUGAAGAUACAAUGAAACUUAAAAAAAAAAAAAAAAAACCUCCAAAUUUUCCUUUCGAAAUGAGGUAAUAAGAGGAUUUUUUUUUUCUUUUUUCUUUGCCUCUCUUUCAAAUUUGAUUAACUUCUAUGGAAAACGUAUUUUAACUAGUUAUGGAAAACGGAUUUUUUUUUUUAAAAACUUUUAUAUAAGAUACAAGUAAUACUUUAAAAAAAUUGUGAUAUCUAAAAAAUUUUUUGAAAAAUUAUUUUUAAAGAAAUAAGGUAAAUCUAUACUUUUUGUAUAAGAUGUUCUACCUUUGUAUUCAAAUUUCUGAUUUUUUUUUUUUAAAGUGUAUCCAAAUGCACACUAAACUAUCUAGUUUUUAAUUGUUACAACUUUGAAUUGGAUUUUAUGGUAAACUAAUUUACAAGUUAAUGCAUAGAUUCAUCUUAGAUUCCAUCUAUAAAUUUUUUUAAUUAUCUAAUAUAAGACAGUAUAUUAAUGGGUUGAAUUAAUAAUGUAAUUAUAAUUUAUUUGGCAACUUUCUUCCUUCAAAUAUAUAAAAUGAAAAUAAAUUUUAAAAAAUAAAAAAUAAAAAAAAGAUUUUUUUUAUAGUUUUUCUAAGAUGAUUUUGUAGAGUUCUGUUAGUUUAUAGUUUUCACUUUAUUUAUUGAGGUAUGUUCUUUUUUGAAACUCUUGUUUAGAUUUUAUUGAGAAUAUAAAUUUUAAGAAAAAAAAUAAAAUUUAAAUAAAAUAAGAAUAAAGAAAGGCAAAAGCUGGAUGAAUUUUUUUAAGGCAAAAGUUUGAUAAUUUGGCACUCUCAUGUAAUGGGUGAAAUUUUUAAAUACUCAACAAAGGCUAGUGAAAUUUAAAUUAAAACCAUGACAUGUACCUUUUAGACCAAAAUCUUUGGAGUUGGUGUAAUGUUUUGAGUAUGAGAGAGGUUAGUCUAGGGAAUAUUAUUGCACAUUAGUUCAAAUAAAACAUCAACAUUUUUUUUUGUUAAAUUCUAAAUGAACACCACUAUAAAUUAAUGCGAUUUUGUAUGCUCAAUUAAAUAAACUCGUUCUUAAGGCAUCACAUGAAGUGUUUAAGUCUAAUUAAUAUUAAUUAAAAAUGAUUAUAGUAAAAAAAAUCCAAAGUAAUUUUUUUUUAUCAUAAGUCAAGUAGGAUAGUUUUAUAAAUAAUUGGUUCUAGUUUCUAGUAUUAUUGUAGACAAUCGCUAUGUUUGUUGCACCUCCAAAAAAUCUACUACUUGUAAUUAAUUGUAUAUUAUUCUCCAUAUUCACAUCAGUUUAUGUAGUAUGAUUAAUUUAGCAACAAAAUAUAAGUUUACUUGAAAUGGCUUUAAAUUCCUAUGAUAUUAAAGUUUAAGAUUAAAACAAUGUAACAUUAGCAAAAAAGAUUAAGAUCUAUAAUGUAACAAAUAAAAUUUAGAAAAUUCAAGGCAGGGUAAACUCGCACCUGUUCUACCCAGAAGAGUGGCUCAAGUUCACAUUCAGAAUUUAUUUGUUGAAAGAGUAUCUCCACUUUAUCACAAUCGAGCACUUCCAAUUCUUUCAGAAGUAGCCAGCUUGAACUAAACCUUCUAGAGCAAAAUCUUUUGAGUUGGUGUAAACCGGAGAGUGUGAGAGAGGUAAGGUUAGGGAAUAAGAGUAAAGGUGCUGCUUCAUCUUCAUUUUCAUUGGCAACAAUUGCCUCCACUCCACUCUCUGAUAUAUAUAGGUCCUCAAGUUGCACAAGAGCACUCGCCACAGAAACCCGAAAAAGGUUUAGCAAUUUGUUGAAUCCCCUUACAUGCAAUUUCCUUAAUUUGGAAAAUGAAUUUGUUGGAAGUUGGUCAGGCCACAAUGCUCUUAUAUUAUCCAGUCCGCAUACAUACAAGGACUCCAAGCCUGGGAGUGCAACCUGUGCAAUUGAUAAUCCCUUUGGUUAAUAAUAUAUACAUAUACAUUCCUAAUAAUUAGACACAUGUAAAUAGAAAAUAAGAGGUUAAAGG
RNAcentral lists this long non-coding RNA (4771 nucleotides) under Vitis vinifera (wine grape). RNAcentral's name for it is "long non-coding RNA (VVIN_LNC003280)". Lineage: Eukaryota; Viridiplantae; Streptophyta; Magnoliopsida; Vitales; Vitaceae. The record is from RNAcentral.